ACUACGGGUGGCAGCAGUGAGGAAUCUUCGACAAUGGGCGAGAUUCUGAUCCAGCCACGCCGCGUGAGGGAAGACGGCCCUAUGGUCUGUAAACCUCUUUUGUCGGAGAACAAAACCCGGGUCGUGUCCCGGACUGCGUGUAUCCGAAUUAUAUGCAUCGUCUACGUCCGUUCCAGCAGCCGCGGCAAUAUGGAGGGUGCGAGCGUUAUCCGGAUUUGUUGGGUUUAAAGGUUGCGUAGGUUGUUUUUUAAGUCAGCGGUGAAAGUUUGAGGCUCAACCAGAAAAUUGCCGGUGAAACUGGAAGACUUGAGUGUGUAUGAGGUAGGCGGAAUGCGAGGUGUAGCGGUGAAAUGCAUAGAUAUAACGAAGAACUCCGAUUGCGAAGGCAGCUUACUAAGCCAUAACUGACGCUGAAGCACGAAAGCGUGGGGAUCAAACAGGAUUAGAUACCCGUGUAGUC
This 460-nucleotide ribosomal RNA is filed under the name uncultured bacterium. RNAcentral describes it as "partial 16S ribosomal RNA". It matches the Rfam family "Bacterial small subunit ribosomal RNA", at positions 338 to 795 of the family's 1533-position model. The record is from RNAcentral.